AAAAUUUAAUAUUAUUUUUUAUUGUUUUUAUUUCUCUCUCUCUUUUUUUUUUUAUCGUGCCUCUCUCUAAAUUUCAUCAUGACUCUUAACCACUCAUCUUCUUCAUCUAAUCUUUUCUCUUCACAUCUUCUUCAUCAUCCCUCUUAACCACUCAUCUUCUUCAUAUAAUCUUUUCUCUUAAUAUGAAUUGGAAUCAAUUACCAGAGUCGACCAUCGGUGGCGCUAUCAUCCACUAUUUCACCUGCUCCAAAAGUCGUUGAUUUAAGCUGUUUUUUUCAUCUUCUUGUUCUCCCCCUUUAUUUAUUUGUUAUCUGUAAGAAAAAUGGGUAAGAAAGCUUCCCUCUCAAAAUCACAUUUUAUAGACCUAUUAUUAAAAAAUGGGUUUUAGUUUUAGUUUUUUGUUAUCUUCUGGAAAUUGAUUGAGAGUUGAAAUUGUUGGGAAAUGAAUUUUUAUUCUUUCUUGUUAUAUUCUAGAAAUUGAUAGAGAGUAGAAGAGAAUUUUACAAAUCUAUUAUUAAGAAAUGAGUUUUAGUUUUAAUUUUUUUAUCUUCUGAAAUUGAUCAAGAGUUGAAAGUGUUGAUAAAUGAAUUUUUAUUCUUUUCUUGUUAUGUUCUAGAAAUUGAUAGAGUAGAAGAGAAUGAGGAGUAAGAUUAAAGUAAAAACAAGAUGGAAACAGAAAUGGGUUCUACAAUUUAUUUUUGAAUUUUUUGAAAAUGACUUGAGAGUGGGUUUGAAAAAAAAUAUUGGAUGAAAUUAAUUAAAACAAAAAAUUUCUAUUCCGUGUUGAUGUUGAAAAGUUCUUCUUAACUUCUUCUACUGAAUGUUGAUUCAGUGAAUUUGAUGAAUAGAAAAAGAAUGGAUUCUGAUGAAUAACCCAUUCAAUGAACCAAACUAUUGAAUUACUAUUCACCACUAAAUCUGACCUGAAUGAAAUGGAAUGACUAUUCAUGCGAAUCAAACAUGCAUUUUAGUGUGAAUAUUGAAUACAGAAAGUUAGAAGAAGCAGCCAACAAAAUGGAUGCUUUCUUGAUUAAGAAGCAAAAUUAGACAAUGUCCGAAAGCGAGGUUGAUAAAAGUACAGACAACAUCAGGAAAAGCAAUCUCAAAAAUAGAGAAAACAAAGUCCACAUUCUUAACCUUAUGGUUUGACUUUCAAUUGUUGCCCGAAUUUUAGUAAUGUUUAAUUUGUAUUUUAGAGUUUAUUUGAUAAAGUUGAUAGAUUUUUCAUUGUGAUUUAAUUUUAUUAUAUGUUUCAUUUGUUCAACAUAAUCUGAUCGUUUGGG
RNAcentral lists this long non-coding RNA (1283 nucleotides) under Gossypium barbadense (sea-island cotton). Its description in RNAcentral is "long non-coding RNA (GBAR_LNC006720)". The record is from RNAcentral. Lineage: Eukaryota; Viridiplantae; Streptophyta; Magnoliopsida; Malvales; Malvaceae.